GCUGGGCACAGUGGUGCACGCCUGUAAUCCCAGAGGCUCGGGAGGCUGAGACAGGGGACUGUGAGUUCAAAAUCAGCCUCAGCAAAAGCAAGGCACUAAGCAACUCUGUGAGACCCUGUCUCUA
This 124-nucleotide small RNA is filed under the name Marmota monax (woodchuck). Lineage: Eukaryota; Metazoa; Chordata; Mammalia; Rodentia; Sciuridae. The record is from RNAcentral.